UGUUAGGCUGCUGCUGCUGUUGUUGAUGCGAGAAAAAUGAAGAGGCCGACUGCUGAACCCCCCUGUUGAAUAGGUUUCCAUUGAUGUUUGGAACUUGGCCGGUGGCUAUCUUAAGUCGCUGCACUUCUUCUCUCAGAGCUUCAUUUAGAGCAUCACGAAGAUGAGCCUGCUGCUCCAUAGCUUGCAGCCGCAACUUGAGCUCCCUGUUCUCAGCAGUCAAACCAGUGGUGUCUCUCUGCAUCAGAGUAAGUUGGGCGGACAAAGUGGUUGCUUCUGUCUGAAGCAUUUGGACUUUCCGUUCUAGCUCACUCGUAUAACGAAUCUUCCUCUCCUUCGAUCGUGCUGCAGAUUGCCUAUUUGCAAGAAUCCUCUUAGCUCUCUUCGGAUCCAGCAGCGCCAGCUCCGCCAGCUUAUCCG
Molecule: unclassified non-coding RNA, 417 nt
Filed under: Hevea brasiliensis (rubber tree)
Lineage: Eukaryota; Viridiplantae; Streptophyta; Magnoliopsida; Malpighiales; Euphorbiaceae
Source: RNAcentral